ACCUGCAUUGGAAAGUGAUUCUGGUCUUGCCUGUGACCUGGUCAUUGAUAGUGCAGGGAGAGGAGCUUGUGAAAGCUUUUUCCCCGUGUUUGGGGGGUUCAUUCCUAUCCCUACCAAACCCUGUAACUUUCAGACA
Chelonoidis abingdonii (Abingdon island giant tortoise) is the source of this 136-nucleotide small nucleolar RNA. Its record names the gene SNORA71. It matches the Rfam family "Small nucleolar RNA SNORA71". From Rfam's summary of the family: The members of this family belong to the H/ACA class of snoRNAs which bind a number of proteins (including dyskerin, Gar1p and Nop10p) to form snoRNP complexes. This class of snoRNAs are thought to guide the sites of modification of uridines to pseudouridines by forming direct base pairing interactions with substrate RNAs. This family includes U71 (SNORA71), ACA39 (SNORA39) and ACA60 (SNORA60). NCBI's taxonomy places the organism in Eukaryota, Metazoa, Chordata, Testudines, Testudinidae. The record is from Ensembl.